GCCCACUUAGCUCAGAAGUUAGAGCAUCGAAUUUGUAAUGUGAUGCUCAUCGAUUCGAUUCCGAUAGCCGGCU
This is a non-coding RNA of Beta vulgaris subsp. vulgaris (sugar beet), 73 nucleotides long. NCBI's taxonomy places the organism in Eukaryota, Viridiplantae, Streptophyta, Magnoliopsida, Caryophyllales, Amaranthaceae. The record is from Rfam.